Molecule: unclassified non-coding RNA, 577 nt
Filed under: Rhabdias nipponica
Lineage: Eukaryota; Metazoa; Nematoda; Chromadorea; Rhabditida; Rhabdiasidae
Description: partial contains ITS1, 5.8S rRNA and ITS2
Rfam family: 5.8S ribosomal RNA (bases 172-322)
Source: RNAcentral
AACGCUCGCGGACCGUCGACGUGUAUUGAUCAGUAUGCUUAGCAUUCAUCACUCUCGUAUGUAUACUUCGUUGUAUAUGUGUGAGUGUUGAUGGAUGUUGGACUUAAUGAGUAUCCGCUCCGGAUAUCGCCAAUCAUAUUUAUAUUGUAUCCAAAAACAAAGACUCAUUACUACUCCUAGUGGUGGAUCACUCGGCUCGCAGGUCGAUGAAGAACGCAGCUAGCUGCGAUAGUUGGUGCGAAUUGCAAACACAUUGAGCACUAAACUUUCGAACGCAUAUUGCGCCGUCGGUUUUUCCGUCGGCAGGUCUGUCUGAGGGUUACAAACAAGUACUUGCAAGAUAACGCUGGCAUGUUGCGUUAUUUUGUUUAGCGAGAAGCUCGGUGUGCAUGUGUGAUAUGUGCUAGUGUGUCACACAUGUUUCGUCCUUCUCUGGUUUGUCAUUUUCAUUGAUAUAUAAUCAUCUGAAUCACAAACACGUGCAAGUAGUGUUGGCUGGUGUUGGUUGAUGAUAUAAUAUCAUUUUGCAAUUGCAACCUCAGAUCAGUCCUGAUUACCCGCUGAACUUAAGCAUAUC